RNAcentral lists this ribosomal RNA (447 nucleotides) under uncultured bacterium. RNAcentral describes it as "partial 16S ribosomal RNA". It matches the Rfam family "Bacterial small subunit ribosomal RNA", at positions 29 to 523 of the family's 1533-position model. The record is from RNAcentral.
AACGAACGCUGGCGGCAGGCUUAACACAUGCAAGUCGAACGCCCCGCACGGGGAGUGGCAGACGGGUGAGUAACGCGUGGCAAUCUACCGUACCCUACGGAACAACAGUUGGAAACGACUGCUAAUACCGUAUACGCCCUUAGGGGGAAAGACUUAUCGGGGUAUGGUGAGCCCGCGUUGGAUUAGAUAGUUGGUGGGGUAAAGGCCUACCAGGGCGACGAUCCAUAGCUGGUCUGAGAGGAUGAUCAGCCACAUUGGGACUGAGAAUCGGCCCAAGCGCCUACGGGGGGCAGCAGUGGAGAAUAUUAAAGAAUGGGCGGAAGACUGAUCCGGCCAUGCCGCGGGGGUGAUGAAGGUCUUAGGAUUGUUGAGUUCUUUCACCGAUGAAGAUAAUGACGGUAGUCGGGGAAGAAGCCCCGGCUAACUUCGUGCCAGCCGCCGCCGUAA